Anastrepha obliqua is the source of this 920-nucleotide long non-coding RNA. RefSeq lists it as uncharacterized. The transcript is spliced from 2 exons. NCBI's taxonomy places the organism in Eukaryota, Metazoa, Arthropoda, Insecta, Diptera, Tephritidae. The record is from RefSeq and is a predicted model, not a curated record.
ACUGGUAUAAAUAAACGUAUAGCGCUCGAAAAGAACUGUCAAAAAUUGCAUUUGUUUGUGCAAAUAAAGAGUUAUACCAGUUUGAUAAGGUGUAAUCGUACUCGCUAGGGCCGAAUCUUCUCCGAUAACUUUUUGGUUGCUUUCACCUGCAAAUUUUUCGUCAAGUAUUUUCAAAAUCUUCACUCAGGAAGGGUUUUAUAACUACUACUACAUUUUGUGUCUUAUUUGUGUACAUUUCAAAAAUUUAAAUAUUUACUUUGGCGGUAGAAUUGCACACGUGCCAAACUUGAAAAAGUAAGCAAAUAAAAAAGAAAUUGAAUAUACCGUGUGGCGCGCAUGCAACAACAUUCAACGAUCGCGCCUCGGCAGGCAAUGGCGAACCUCUGAGUGUAGUUCUGCCGUGAAAAAGCUCCUUAUAAAGAAACAUCUUUCGGAGGCGAUAUGGCAUGAAGGUCCCUCCAUAUGUGAAAAAACAUCAAGUCGCGUACUACAAAUUGGAGGGAGGAGUCUCGGCCAAACAUCUAGCAAAGAAUGUACGUGUCAAUUAUAAUUUGAACACAGCGCCAUGAAGAAGUUAAGCGAAGAUUAGUUCUUCAUCAAAUCAUCCAGUUCACUAAAUGAUUUACUAUCCUUUUCCCUUACCAAUUACAAACCUUAUCGCAUAUCAAUUGAUUUCACUAAGUGUGAAACUGAAAUUGUCUAUGUGUUUUAUAAAAAUGUAUGAAACCUGAAACAAACUGCUAAAUAUUAUAUUGCAACUGGGGUUUGAGCUACAAUCAAAGUUGAAGUCGCCAACUCAUCGGUACAUGGCAAAGUUCCUACUGAAAUCUGGAUAAACGGGAAGGCGAUUUGACAUAAACGUGAUAACAUGCCAAUAACAAACGAGAGAAUAAUAAAAAUGUUGAAAACUUUUCACUUAA